RNAcentral lists this ribosomal RNA (253 nucleotides) under uncultured Luteolibacter sp. RNAcentral describes it as "partial 16S ribosomal RNA". It matches the Rfam family "Bacterial small subunit ribosomal RNA", at positions 524 to 776 of the family's 1533-position model. Lineage: Bacteria; Pseudomonadati; Verrucomicrobiota; Verrucomicrobiia; Verrucomicrobiales; Verrucomicrobiaceae. The record is from RNAcentral.
GACGAAGGUCCCGAGCGUUGUUCGGAAUCACUGGGCGUAAAGGGAGCGUAGGCUGCACGGUAAGUCAGAUGUGAAAGCCCGGGGCUCAACCCCGGAACUGCAUCCGAUACCGCCGUGCUUGAGGACUGGAGAGGAGUCUGGAAUUCACAGUGGAGCAGUGAAAUGCGUAGAUAUUGUGAGGAACACUAGUAGCGAAGGCGAGACUCUGGACAGAUCCUGACGCUGAGGCUCGAAGGCCAGGGGAGCAAACGGG